GACGUAGGAGGCGAGCGUUGUCCGGAGUUACUGGGCGUAAAGCGCGCGCAGGCGGUCACGCAGGUCAUCUGUGAAAGCACUCGGCUCAACCGGGAUGUCGCGGGUGAAACCGCGUGACUUGAGGGUGGGAGAGGUCGGUGGAAUUCCCGGUGUAGUGGUGAAAUGCGUAGAUAUCAGGAGGAACACCGAUGGCGAAGGCAGGUCUCUGGGCUGACACUGACGCUCAUGCACGAAAGCGUGGGGAGCAAACAGG
This 253-nucleotide ribosomal RNA is filed under the name uncultured bacterium. Its description in RNAcentral is "partial 16S ribosomal RNA". It matches the Rfam family "Bacterial small subunit ribosomal RNA", at positions 524 to 776 of the family's 1533-position model. The record is from RNAcentral.